CAGCUGAUAGAAGAGGGUUUUGCAUGAUCACAGCUCCACACACUUUAAGAGAGCUGGUGUGAUCAACACUGGAGACUUCAGUCCUUUCAGACUCACUCACACACAGCACAAUGAUGACCACACUGAUUCUACUGCUGACCACACUGGUCUUCUUUCCUCAGGUUUCCCAUCAAGAGGUUCAGUCUCCUGAGUUUCUGUCUGGUCAAGCAGGAAAGAGUGUCUCUAUUAGCUGUACUGGAACUAGUGGAGUUGGCAGUGAUAUGAGUUGGUACCUGCAGAAACCUGGAGAAGCUCCUAAACUCCUGAUUUAUAAGGCAAACAGACGUGAGUCUGGAGUCCCAGAACGAUUCAGUGGUUCAUAUUCAGAGCUUAACUUUCAACUGACCGUCAGUGGAGUCCAGCCUGAGGAUGCAGGAGAUUAUUACUGUAUGGGUUUCUAUAGUGGAGGAGUGUUCACACACUGAUAAACCGUCAUAGAAAAACCCCCCUCAGUCAGACUAUACAGAGACUGCACUGCUGCCGCUGCAUCAACUGCAGGUGUUGAAGGCAGAUGACGAGACACAGAACAGAACUGCACACAUACAAACACACACACACACACACACACACACACACACCUACACACACACACACACAA
Molecule: non-coding RNA, 637 nt
Organism: Colossoma macropomum (tambaqui)
Lineage: Eukaryota; Metazoa; Chordata; Actinopteri; Characiformes; Serrasalmidae
Source: the annotation of a RefSeq genome assembly